This 265-nucleotide ribosomal RNA is filed under the name uncultured prokaryote. RNAcentral describes it as "partial 16S ribosomal RNA". It matches the Rfam family "Bacterial small subunit ribosomal RNA", at positions 524 to 788 of the family's 1533-position model. The record is from RNAcentral.
UACGGAGGAUCCGAGCGUUAUCCGGAUUUAUUGGGUUUAAAGGGUGCGCAGGCGGGAGAUUAAGUCGGCGGUGAAAUUUUGCAGCUCAACUGUAAAAGUGCCUUCGAAACUGGUUUCCUUGAGUGUAGCUGAAGUAGGCGGAAUUUGUGGUGUAGCGGUGAAAUGCAUAGAUAUCACGAGGAACUCCGAUUGCGCAGGCAGCUUACUAAACUACUACUGACGCUCAUGCACGAAGGCGUAGGGAUCAAACAGGAUUAGAUACCCU